AAACUAACAAGGAUUCCCCUAGUAGCGGCGAGCGAAGCGGGAAGAGCUCAAAUUUAUAAUCUGGCACUUUCAGUGUCCGAGUUGUAAUCUCUAGAAGUGUUUUCCGCGUUGGACCGCACACAAGUCUGUUGGAAUACAGCGGCACAGUGGUGACACCCCCGUACACGGUGCGGACGCCCAGCGCUUUGUGAUACACUUUCGAAGAGUCGAGUUGUUUGGGAAUGCAGCUCAAAUUGGGUGGUAAAUUCCAUCUAAAGCUAAAUAUUGGCGAGAGACCGAUAGCGAACAAGUACCGUGAGGGAAAGAUGAAAAGCACUUUGGAAAGAGAGUUAACAGUACGUGAAAUUGUUGGAAGGGAAACGCUUGAAGUCAGACUUGCUUGCCGGAGCUUGCUUCGGUUUGCAGGCCAGCAUCAGUUUUCCGGGGUGGAUAAUGGGCGGUUAGAAGGUAGCAGCUUCAGCUGUGUUAUAGCUUUCCGCUGGAUACAUCCUGGGGGACUGAGGAACGCAGCGUGCUUUUAGCGGGGGUUUCGACCUCUUCACGCUUAGGAUGCUGGUGUAAUGGCUUUAAACGAC
RNAcentral lists this ribosomal RNA (575 nucleotides) under Rhodotorula paludigena. RNAcentral describes it as "eukaryotic LSU rRNA". It matches the Rfam family "Eukaryotic large subunit ribosomal RNA", at positions 62 to 648 of the family's 3401-position model. The record is from RNAcentral. Lineage: Eukaryota; Fungi; Basidiomycota; Microbotryomycetes; Sporidiobolales; Sporidiobolaceae.